GAAAAAUUAGUUAAAUUAAUAACAUUAAUUUGUCAAAUUAAAAUUAUAUUUAUAUAAGUAUAUUUUUCU
RNAcentral lists this transfer RNA (69 nucleotides) under Cucujoidea sp. 18 KM-2017. Its description in RNAcentral is "tRNA-Asp". The record is from RNAcentral. Lineage: Eukaryota; Metazoa; Arthropoda; Insecta; Coleoptera.